AUGAGGAGUCUUAUCCUGAAUAGAUUGAAAAAUGCAGCACAUUGUAGUUCAAAUACAGUGCUCGCAGACAAAAGACAUCUAAAAUUAUGUUAUUGCAGCCGGGUGGUGUCUCUGUCAACAUGCACCAAGGUUGGCGCCGUCAGCUUUGUAUUUGGCGUCGUGGUUGGCUUCACCCUGAAGAAAAGGCUGCGCCGGUGGGCUGCCAAGCUGCUCAAGAGAAUUAAGGACGACGAGUAG
This 237-nucleotide ribosomal RNA is filed under the name Triticum aestivum (bread wheat). Its description in RNAcentral is "partial small subunit ribosomal RNA". The record is from RNAcentral. Lineage: Eukaryota; Viridiplantae; Streptophyta; Magnoliopsida; Poales; Poaceae.